CUACCCUGUGGAUCCGGGCUUUUGUAGAAUUUAGCCAUCAGAAGCUCGUCUCUACAGGUAUCU
RNAcentral lists this microRNA precursor (63 nucleotides) under Triops cancriformis. Its description in RNAcentral is "microRNA tcf-mir-993 precursor". Its record names the gene tcf-mir-993. It matches the Rfam family "mir-10 microRNA precursor family", at positions 8 to 67 of the family's 74-position model. Rfam says of the family: In this case the mature sequence comes from the 5' arm of the precursor. The extents of the hairpin precursors are not generally known and are estimated based on hairpin prediction. Lineage: Eukaryota; Metazoa; Arthropoda; Branchiopoda; Notostraca; Triopsidae. The record is from miRBase by way of RNAcentral.